GAUGAACGCUAGCGGCAGGCUUAAUACAUGCAAGUCGAGGGGCAACAGGGGUAGCAAUACCUGCUGGCGACCGGCAAACGGGUGCGCAACACGUACAGAACCUUCCUUUAAGCGGGGGAUAGCCCAUAGAAAUGUGGAUUAAUACCCAUGGUAUUAUUGAUUGGCAUCAGUUAAUAAUUAAAGAUUUAUCACUUAAAGAUGGCUGUGCGUCUGAUUAGGUAGUUGGCGGGGUAACGGCCCACCAAGCCAACGAUCAGUAACUGGUGUGAGAGCACGACCAGUCACACGGGCACUGAGACACGGGCCCGACUCCUACGGGAGGCAGCAGUAAGGAAUAUUGGUCAAUGGACGCAAGUCUGAACCAGCCAUGCCGCGUGAAGGAUGA
RNAcentral lists this ribosomal RNA (385 nucleotides) under uncultured bacterium. RNAcentral's name for it is "bacterial SSU rRNA". It matches the Rfam family "Bacterial small subunit ribosomal RNA", at positions 28 to 411 of the family's 1533-position model. The record is from RNAcentral.